CAGCAGCCACGGGAAUACGUAGGUGGCAAGCGUUAUCCGGAAUUAUUGGGCGUAAAGCGCGCGCAGGUGGUUUCUUAAGUCUGAUGUGAAAGCCCACGGCUCAACCGUGGAGGGUCAUUGGAAACUGGGAGACUUGAGUGCAGAAGAGGAAAGUGGAAUUCCAUGUGUAGCGGUGAAAUGCGUAGAGAUAUGGAGGAACACCAGUGGCGAAGGCGACUUUCUGGUCUGUAACUGACACUGAGGCGCGAAAGCGUGGGGAGCAAACAGGAUUAGAGACCCCCGUAGUCCCUGUCUCUUAUAC
This 301-nucleotide ribosomal RNA is filed under the name uncultured bacterium. RNAcentral's name for it is "partial 16S ribosomal RNA". It matches the Rfam family "Bacterial small subunit ribosomal RNA", at positions 509 to 807 of the family's 1533-position model. The record is from RNAcentral.